GCGAAUAUAGAUAAAUUGGUAAAGUCACUAAUCUUCCACAUUAGUUAAUUACGGGUUCGAGUCCCGUUAUUCGCUUA
This 77-nucleotide transfer RNA is filed under the name Corallina chilensis. RNAcentral describes it as "tRNA-Gly". It matches the Rfam family "tRNA". Rfam says of the family: Transfer RNA (tRNA) molecules are approximately 80 nucleotides in length. Their secondary structure includes four short double-helical elements and three loops (D, anti-codon, and T loops). The record is from RNAcentral. Lineage: Eukaryota; Rhodophyta; Florideophyceae; Corallinales; Corallinaceae.